GGGGGCGUCAAGGUUUCGACGGAGAAUGUACUUUAAAAUCUGCAAGCCGAGUUUGACUCAUACUCGUUAAACAAAAGUCAAAAAAAAUAAUUGCUAAACCCAAUUAUGAGUACGCUUACGCUUAAACUCGUAAGCUGUCUACCUUGUGUGUUUUCUGACCGCUGAGGAUAGGCAUAAACCAGUCAGGAUGCGGUAAGUGCGAUAGGCUUUACGCAUUUGCCUAAGACUUAAAGCUACUCUUUCAGCUGUUUUGCUGGUUUUUGUAAGUUGAAAGUAUAUUAAAAACCCCAGCCAUAGGCUGGUCGUCCUUUGGACGAGGCUAAGCUUGUAGAAGAUUUUAAAAAUAUUUUUCGGACGCGGGUUCGAUUCCCGCCGCCUCCACCC
This 384-nucleotide transfer-messenger RNA is filed under the name Patescibacteria group. RNAcentral's name for it is "GWB1-39-12 sp000993405 X3 Standard tmRNA". It matches the Rfam family "transfer-messenger RNA". From Rfam's summary of the family: Bacterial tmRNA, also known as 10Sa RNA or SsrA, is named for its dual tRNA and mRNA-like properties. Its role is to liberate the mRNA from a stalled ribosome. The record is from RNAcentral.